This 477-nucleotide ribosomal RNA is filed under the name uncultured soil bacterium. RNAcentral describes it as "bacterial SSU rRNA". It matches the Rfam family "Bacterial small subunit ribosomal RNA", at positions 26 to 506 of the family's 1533-position model. The record is from RNAcentral.
AGAUUGAACGCUGGCGGCAUGCCUUACACAUGCAAGUCGAACGGUAACGCGGGGCAACCUGGCGACGAGUGGCGAACGGGUGAGUAAUAUAUCGGAACGUGCCCAGUAGUGGGGGAUAGCCCGGCGAAAGCCGGAUUAAUACCGCAUACGACCUACGGGUGAAAGCGGGGGAUCGCAAGACCUCGCGCUAUUGGAGCGGCCGAUAUCAGAUUAGGUAGUUGGUGGGGUAAAAGCCUACCAAGCCGACGAUCUGUAGCUGGUCUGAGAGGACGACCAGCCACACUGGGACUGAGACACGGCCCAGACUCCUACGGGAGGCAGCAGUGGGGAAUUUGGACAAUGGGCGCAAGCCUGAUCCAGCCAUGCCGCGUGCGGAAGAGGCCUUCGGGUUGUAACCGCUUUGUCAGGAAGAAUCCUCUGAGUUAAUACCGUCGGGGAUGACGGUACCGUGAAGAAUAAGCACUGACUAACGUACGU